CAGAUUGAAGCCCGCUGGAUUGGGUGCUUAGCUGUUAACUAAGAGUUUACGGGAUCGAGGCCCGUCUAUCUAG
RNAcentral lists this transfer RNA (73 nucleotides) under Eutropis multifasciata (many-lined sun skink). Its description in RNAcentral is "tRNA-Asn". Lineage: Eukaryota; Metazoa; Chordata; Lepidosauria; Squamata; Scincidae. The record is from RNAcentral.